AAUAGAUACCCGGGUAGUCCACGCCGUAAACGGUGGGCACUAGGUGUGGGCGACAUUCCACGUCGUCCGUGCCGCAGCUAACGCAUUAAGUGCCCCGCCUGGGGAGUACGGCCGCAAGGCUAAAACUCAAAGGAAUUGACGGGGGCCCGCACAAGCGGCGGAGCAUGUGGCUUAAUUCGACGCAACGCGAAGAACCUUACCAAGGCUUGACAUACACCGGAAAACCCUGGAGACAGGGUCCCCCUUGUGGUCGGUGUACAGGUGGUGCAUGACUGUCGUCAGCUCGUGUCGUGAGAUGUUGGGUUAAGUCCCGCAACGAGCGCAACCCUUGUCCCGUAUUGCCAGCAGGCCCUUGUGGUGCUGGGGACUCACGGGAGACCGCCGGGGUCAACUCGGAGGAAGGUGGGGACGACGUCAAGUCAUCAUGCCCCUUAUGUCUUGGGCUGCACACGUGCUACAAUGGCCGGUACAAUGAGCUGCGAUACCGCGAGGUGGAGCGAAUCUCAAAAAGCCGGUCUCAGUUCGGAUUGGGGUCUGCAACUCGACCCC
Molecule: ribosomal RNA, 549 nt
Filed under: uncultured bacterium
Lineage: Bacteria
Description: bacterial SSU rRNA
Rfam family: Bacterial small subunit ribosomal RNA
Source: RNAcentral